Molecule: transfer RNA, 78 nt
Filed under: Micromonospora sagamiensis
Lineage: Bacteria; Bacillati; Actinomycetota; Actinomycetes; Micromonosporales; Micromonosporaceae
Description: tRNA-Arg
Source: RNAcentral
CCUGCACGGGCGGUCCGGGCCGCCCGCCCGGUCGCGGUCCGGGUUCAGCGGUCCGGGUCGCCCGCCGGGGUGCGGUCC